RNAcentral lists this ribosomal RNA (492 nucleotides) under uncultured bacterium. Its description in RNAcentral is "partial 16S ribosomal RNA". It matches the Rfam family "Bacterial small subunit ribosomal RNA", at positions 29 to 507 of the family's 1533-position model. The record is from RNAcentral.
AGUGAACGCUGGCGGUAGGCCUAACACAUGCAAGUCGAACGGCAGCACAGUAAGAGCUUGCUCUUACGGGUGGCGAGUGGCGGACGGGUGAGGAAUACAUCGGAAUCUACUUUUUCGUGGGGGAUAACGUAGGGAAACUUACGCUAAUACCGCAUACGACCUACGGGUGAAAGCAGGGGAUCUUCGGACCUGGCGCGAUUGAAUGAGCCGAUGUUGGAUUAGUUAGUUGGCGGGGUAAAGGGCCACCAAGGCGACGAUCCGUAGCUGGUCUGAGAGGGUGAUCACCUACACGGGAACAGAGGCACAUCCGAGACACUGGCACUGAGCAGCGGUGCGGAAUAUUACGGGAGGGAGGAGUGGCGAAUACAGCAAUACGGGCGGAAUGAAGAAGCCGCUCGGGUGGUAGAGCCCUUAUGGUGGGAAAGAUAUACAGCACUUUUACACGCGGCGGUACUGACGGUACCCGGAGAAUAAGCACCGGCUAACUUCGUG